UACGUAGGGUGCGAGCGUUAAUCGGAAUUACUGGGCGUAAAGCGUGCGUAGGCGGUUCUCCAAGUCCGUUGUGAAAGCCCCGGGCUCAACCUGGGAAUGGCAGUGGAAACUAGGGGACUGGAAUCUGGCAGAGGGGGGUGGAAUGCCGCGUGUAGCAGUGAAAUGCGUAGAGAUGCGGCGGAACACCGAUGGCGAAGGCAGCCCCCUGGGCUGAGAUUGACGCUCAGGCACGAAAGCGUGGGGAGCAAACAGG
This 253-nucleotide ribosomal RNA is filed under the name uncultured bacterium. Its description in RNAcentral is "partial 16S ribosomal RNA". It matches the Rfam family "Bacterial small subunit ribosomal RNA", at positions 524 to 776 of the family's 1533-position model. The record is from RNAcentral.